Molecule: transfer RNA, 81 nt
Filed under: Echinostoma caproni
Lineage: Eukaryota; Metazoa; Platyhelminthes; Trematoda; Plagiorchiida; Echinostomatidae
Rfam family: tRNA
About the family: Transfer RNA (tRNA) molecules are approximately 80 nucleotides in length.
Source: Rfam by way of RNAcentral
GGCCUCGUAGCUCAGUUGGUAGAGCAUGCCGUACAAAGCGUAGGCGGCGUCCAUGCGUGUGUUCGAAUCCCACCGAUGCUA